UUGACCCAUUCGACCUCAAAUCAGGUAGGACUACCCGCUGAACUUAA
This 47-nucleotide ribosomal RNA is filed under the name Hydnellum fennicum. RNAcentral's name for it is "partial 28S ribosomal RNA". Lineage: Eukaryota; Fungi; Basidiomycota; Agaricomycetes; Thelephorales; Thelephoraceae. The record is from RNAcentral.